RNAcentral lists this ribosomal RNA (462 nucleotides) under uncultured Rhodocyclaceae bacterium. Its description in RNAcentral is "bacterial SSU rRNA". It matches the Rfam family "Bacterial small subunit ribosomal RNA", at positions 919 to 1382 of the family's 1533-position model. Lineage: Bacteria; Pseudomonadati; Pseudomonadota; Betaproteobacteria; Rhodocyclales; Rhodocyclaceae. The record is from RNAcentral.
ACCCGCACAAGCGGUGGAUGAUGUGGAUUAAUUCGAUGCAACGCGAAAACCUUACUACCCUUGACAUGUCCGGAAUCCCGAAGAGAUUUGGGAGUGCUCGCAAGAGAACCGGAACACAGGUGCUGCAUGGCUGUCGUCAGCUCGUGUCGUGAGAUGUUGGGUUAAGUCCCGCAACGAGCGCAACCCUUGUCAUUAGUUGCCAUCAUUUGGUUGGGCACUCUAAUGAGACUGCCGGUGACAAACCGGAGGAAGGUGGGGAUGACGUCAAGUCCUCAUGGCCCUUAUGGGUAGGGCUUCACACGUCAUACAAUGGUCGGUACAGAGGGUUGCCAACCCGCGAGGGGGAGCUAAUCCCACAAAGCCGAUCGUAGUCCGGAUCGCAGUCUGCAACUCGACUGCGUGAAGUCGGAAUCGCUAGUAAUCGUGGAUCAGCAUGUCACGGUGAAUACGUUCCCGGGUCUU